GUCACUUAGCUCUGAAAACAUAGGCAUCGGAGUGUAGCAGACUGACUCAGAGUCCUCCCAAGAUGCAGAUUCUACUGAAAUCCAAACCCAAGGGGUCUACAAAAUGGGUAUGUUCAAAUUUUUUUUUUGUUUUCAUUACUGACUGUCUCCUAUUUUAAGGCACCCAGAUGGCUUGGGGGGAAUGUAAAUCAGUGCUUUCUUCCAUUGCCAGUUUAAUGACCUUGUGAUGUUAAUUGCCUCUUUCUCCAUAAUAUCAACUCUUCUCCCCAUAUCUCUCAGACAAAUUACCUAACCCUUCAAACACAAUCCAAGAGGACUUCCCCAUCCACCUAGGCAGAAUGCAACUAUAUCAUACUAGAGUUUUUAUGUGUGUGAGUAUAUAUAUAAUAAGGUAAAGCGGGAACUAAUAUUCUAAAAAGAAAUAUAAUUCUAUUAUAUAUUCUAUUAUAUAAUUCUAUUAUUAAAUAUAUUCUAUUAUUAUAGAAUUAUACACUAUAAUUUCUGUAUCUGUAAUUAUAGAACUGUAAUUUCUUACCAUUAAUCGCAAAAUGGGAGGCUCAUCAGGUAGAAGGAGGGAAGGACUCCAGUUUCAGCAGUUUGUGCUUAGAGUAGAAACAUAAAGGAGAAUGACAUGGUGAUAAAACCCAGCUUAGGAGAAAUAAGACUUACUAGUCAGCUUCAUUCAGCAACUCAUAUCUCGAAUGUUCACUAAACACUUAUUAUGAGCUCUAUGGUCCUACUUUAUGUUCUUGGCAUUGGAAAUUUUUUAAAUGAAUACGAAUUGAUUAUAAUAGAAGAUCAAGUAGAGCUCAACUCAAAGUGUCAUGGGAACUUGGAUGCACGAGAGACAGCUGUACAGCUGUCAGGGGACGUGUGGAGGUGUGGGGAGUGCAGACAGUGGUUAGAGAAGGUAUUUAUAGAAGAGGUGAUGUUUAAGCAAUACUCAGUAAUAUUAGUGGCCAUGGCAUAGGGCAUAUAGGUGAGAAAGAGGAUGGAGCCUGAAAAGAAAUAAGAGAUGAGGCAGAAGAAACAUGCUGGAGUGAUUCAUCUACCUGGAGAGGUGCUCUGCUCUGCAUUUCAUAAAUA
RNAcentral lists this long non-coding RNA (1086 nucleotides) under Homo sapiens (human). RNAcentral's name for it is "HSALNT0365688". The record is from RNAcentral. Lineage: Eukaryota; Metazoa; Chordata; Mammalia; Primates; Hominidae.